ACGAAGGGUGCAAGCGUUAAUCGGAAUUACUGGGCGUAAAGCGUGCGUAGGUGGUUGUUCAAGUCAGUCGUGAAAGCCCUGGGCUCAACCUGGGAAUGGCGAUGGAAACUGGGCGACUAGAGUGCGGUAGAGGAUGGCGGAAUUCCCGGUGUAGCGGUGAAAUGCGUAGAGAUCCGGAGGAACACCAGAGGCGAAGGCGACACCCUGGGCCGUACCUGACGCUAAGACGCGACAGCACGGGGAGCGAACGG
RNAcentral lists this ribosomal RNA (251 nucleotides) under uncultured prokaryote. Its description in RNAcentral is "partial 16S ribosomal RNA". It matches the Rfam family "Bacterial small subunit ribosomal RNA", at positions 525 to 775 of the family's 1533-position model. The record is from RNAcentral.